Molecule: ribosomal RNA, 497 nt
Filed under: uncultured bacterium
Lineage: Bacteria
Description: partial 16S ribosomal RNA
Rfam family: Bacterial small subunit ribosomal RNA
Source: RNAcentral
GAUGAACGCUGGCGGCGUGCCUAAUACAUGCAAGUCGAGCGAACGGACGAGAAGCUUGCUUCUCUGAUGUUAGCGGCGGACGGGUGAGUAACACGUGGAUAACCUACCUAUAAGACUGGGAUAACUUCGGGAAACCGGAUCUAAUACCGGAUGAUAUUUUGAACCGCAUGGUUCAAAAGUGAAAGGCGGUCUUGCUGUCACUUAUAGAUGGAUCCGCGCUGCAUUAGCUAGUUGGUAAGGUAACGGCUUACCAAGGCAACGAUGCAUAGCCGACCUGAGAGGGUGAUCGGCCACACUGGAACUGAGACACGGUCCAGACUCCUACGGGAGGCAGCAGUAGGGAAUCUUCCGCAAUGGGCGAAAGCCUGACGGAGCAACGCCGCGUGAGUGAUGAAGGUCUUCGGAUCGUAAAACUCUGUUAUUAGGGAAGAACAUAUGUGUAAGUAACUGUGCACAUCUUGACGGUACCUAAUCAGAAAGCCACGGCUAACUACGUG